Saccostrea cuccullata (small rock oyster) is the source of this 252-nucleotide long non-coding RNA. RefSeq lists it as uncharacterized. The record is from RefSeq and is a predicted model, not a curated record. NCBI's taxonomy places the organism in Eukaryota, Metazoa, Mollusca, Bivalvia, Ostreida, Ostreidae. The transcript is spliced from 4 exons.
AUUUGCCUCAUUUAGAAUUUGGAAAACUUAAACUUGGAAGAAGACAGAAAUGUUGAUGAAGGUUUGCGCUUUGAUUACUGUUGUUUGCAUGAUUGCAGAGGGAGGAUUGCCGUUACAAAGGUUGCAAAAAUCAAAAACCAUGGACGCUAUUUUACUUGAUCAGUUGCGUCGGCACUGCAGUAAACCACCGCCAAAAGUAGAAAUGUCUGGAUUGGAUUUCCUUAAUCCAAAAUAAUCACAACGUUAUGAUUA